CGAGGCGGACGGGCGACCGCUGCGGGUCGGUGCGAGCCGACCUUGUGGAGGAAAGUCCGAGCACCAACGGGCAAGGGCGCCUGCUAACGGCAGGGCGGGGCGACCCGACGGAAAGUGCAACAGAAAGAAUACCGCUUUCGAUGUGGGCUACUAGCCCGUUUUCAUCGAGAGUAAGGGCGAACGGGUGCGGUAAGAGCGCACCGCGUCGGCGGUAACGUCGGCGGCAGUGCAAACCCCGCUCGGUGCAAGGCCAAAUAGGGGGGCGUUAAGAUGAUUGUCCGCAUCAGCUCCCGGGUAGGCCGCAAGAGGUCAUGGGCGACCGUGAUCGCAGAUGGAUGGUCGCACAGGGUUGGCGGUUGAGGGAAGAAGGCUGCGAAGCCGUAAACCUCGCCGCGGUCUGGACAGAACUCGGCUUAUAGUCCGCCUCGCUGA
This 432-nucleotide RNase P RNA is filed under the name Chloroflexota bacterium. RNAcentral's name for it is "Chloroflexi bacterium RNase P RNA component class A". It matches the Rfam family "Bacterial RNase P class A". From Rfam's summary of the family: Ribonuclease P (RNase P) is a ubiquitous endoribonuclease, found in archaea, bacteria and eukarya as well as chloroplasts and mitochondria. Its best characterised activity is the generation of mature 5'-ends of tRNAs by cleaving the 5'-leader elements of precursor-tRNAs. The record is from RNAcentral. Lineage: Bacteria; Bacillati; Chloroflexota.